Delitschia confertaspora ATCC 74209 is the source of this 72-nucleotide non-coding RNA. The record is from the annotation of a GenBank genome assembly. NCBI's taxonomy places the organism in Eukaryota, Fungi, Ascomycota, Dothideomycetes, Pleosporales, Delitschiaceae.
GGCCGCGUGGCCUAAUGGUAAGGCGUUACUUUCCGGUGGUAAAGACUCUCGGUUCGAGUCCGGGCGCGGUCG